Molecule: ribosomal RNA, 253 nt
Filed under: uncultured bacterium
Lineage: Bacteria
Description: partial 16S ribosomal RNA
Rfam family: Bacterial small subunit ribosomal RNA
Source: RNAcentral
UACGUAGGGGGCAAGCGUUAUCCGGAAUUACUGGGUGUAAAGGGGGCGUAGACGGUAAUGUAAGUCUGGAGUGAAAGGCGGGGGCCCAACCCCCGGACUGCUCUGGAAACUAUGUUACUAGAGUGCAGGAGAGGUAAGCGGAAUUCCUAGUGUAGCGGUGAAAUGCGUAGAUAUUAGGAGGAACACCAGUGGCGAAGGCGGCCUACUGGACUGUAACUGACGUUGAGGCUCGAAAGCGUGGGGAGCAAACAGG